RNAcentral lists this ribosomal RNA (1052 nucleotides) under Staphylococcus aureus. RNAcentral's name for it is "bacterial SSU rRNA". It matches the Rfam family "Bacterial small subunit ribosomal RNA", at positions 89 to 1125 of the family's 1533-position model. Lineage: Bacteria; Bacillati; Bacillota; Bacilli; Caryophanales; Staphylococcaceae. The record is from RNAcentral.
AUGUUAGCGGCGGACGGGUGAGUAACACGUGGAUAACCUACCUAUAAGACUGGGAUAACUUCGGGAAACCGGAGCUAAUACCGGAUAAUAUUUUGAACCGCAUGGUUCAAAAGUGAAAGACGGUCUUGCUGUCACUUAUAGAUGGAUCCGCGCUGCAUUAGCUAGUUGGUAAGGUAACGGCUUACCAAGGCAACGAUGCAUAGCCGACCUGAGAGGGUGAUCGGCCACACUGGAACUGAGACACGGUCCAGACUCCUACGGGAGGCAGCAGUAGGGAAUCUUCCGCAAUGGGCGAAAGCCUGACGGAGCAACGCCGCGUGAGUGAUGAAGGUCUUCGGAUCGUAAAACUCUGUUAUUAGGGAAGAACAUAUGUGUAAGUAACUGUGCACAUCUUGACGGUACCUAAUCAGAAAGCCACGGCUAACUACGUGCCAGCAGCCGCGGUAAUACGUAGGUGGCAAGCGUUAUCCGGAAUUAUUGGGCGUAAAGCGCGCGUAGGCGGUUUUUUAAGUCUGAUGUGAAAGCCCACGGCUCAACCGUGGAGGGUCAUUGGAAACUGGAAAACUUGAGUGCAGAAGAGGAAAGUGGAAUUCCAUGUGUAGCGGUGAAAUGCGCAGAGAUAUGGAGGAACACCAGUGGCGAAGGCGACUUUCUGGUCUGUAACUGACGCUGAUGUGCGAAAGCGUGGGGAUCAAACAGGAUUAGAUACCCUGGUAGUCCACGCCGUAAACGAUGAGUGCUAAGUGUUAGGGGGUUUCCGCCCCUUAGUGCUGCAGCUAACGCAUUAAGCACUCCGCCUGGGGAGUACGACCGCAAGGUUGAAACUCAAAGGAAUUGACGGGGACCCGCACAAGCGGUGGAGCAUGUGGUUUAAUUCGAAGCAACGCGAAGAACCUUACCAAAUCUUGACAUCCUUUGACAACUCUAGAGAUAGAGCCUUCCCCUUCGGGGGACAAAGUGACAGGUGGUGCAUGGUUGUCGUCAGCUCGUGUCGUGAGAUGUUGGGUUAAGUCCCGCAACGAGCGCAACCCUUAAGCUUAGUUGCCAUCAUU